Molecule: long non-coding RNA, 1937 nt
Organism: Cydia fagiglandana
Lineage: Eukaryota; Metazoa; Arthropoda; Insecta; Lepidoptera; Tortricidae
Exons: 2
Source: RefSeq, a predicted model, not a curated record
GCGAUCAGGUUUUUAAAAGUAUACCUAACGGCAGUUGCGACCUCUAGCACGAAUUGUCAUUUUAACCAAUGGUUAUGAUUCUUAUCUUUCGAUAAGGACUAAUUCUCACAAUUAGAUAAGUUGGAGUAGGCAAAAAUCUCAAUCGCUAAUCACAAUUGGCAGCUAAUACUACACGCUUAUCAUGAAUAGUGGCACAACUCAAAAUGAAAUGUCGUUCGAUUUUAAAUCUUACCAGUAAAAGAUAGAAUAUUAAAUGUAAUAGCAUUUCAUUUUGAGUUGUGCCACUAUUCAUGAUAAGCGUCGAGUUGUAAACCACCUUAAUGUACAUUCAGCAGCAGAAAUUACUAAGCAGGUGAGGUGUUCACUAUGAAUUUGACGCGACUUUAUUGUUAAGAGAAUAAGAGCGUGUCGAGGUUAUUUUGAACACCUCGCCCGCUUAGCAACUUUUGCUGCUGACUGUAGGUGUCAGAAUCCAUUUAAGCUUCUGCACUAACUUGACAGUGACAAAGUGUAACGGUACCAUUACAAACAUCAUGUUUUAUCCUUCUGAGACCCCCGGUACAAAUGUUUGCACACAUUCCACAAUCUAUUUUGAACUUUAAUUGAAUAACAUAGAGUUCCAAAUUCAAAAACAUCAACUGCUUCUGGGUCUCAGGUUAAAGGAAUUUGACGUUUCCGGUCGCGCUAAAACACUGUCCCUUGACAAUUUGGUGCAGAGUUAGCUUAGACGGAUUCUAUCAAUCACUGUGAUUAUAUAACCACUGAAUUGACUGUUGUAAAAUUAAGGAAAAUCUUUCAUGACAUGUAUGUAUGUGCUAUUAUUUACUUAUUUUAUUAAAUUGGUUAAAUAAGGUGCAGGCGUAUAGCGCGACAUAAAAUAGUAGAAAUUAAAUAAAAUGAAACUAAAAAAAAAACCAUAUUAUAUUGUGGCCAUGUAAGCAUUUUACGUCAAAAAUGCGACAGUUACGUAGAAAGUGGCGCCCCCAUUUACUUUCUACUAUUUUAUGUGGCACCGUAGAAGCGCUAUUGAUUAAUUUUAUAAAACAAAUGCUUAUAUCUGUAACGAUAUACACCUGAGGGCAAUGGAAACGGAUACAAUUUAUGUCGUUUCUAUACAAAUAACACCCGUUUUACACUCCUGGUUGUAGUUACAGAUAAUAACGCAAAAUAGGUAAUAUUUUAUUGUAUGUCUAUAUUAUUUAAUUAGACUUAUGCUCAAAACGAUACUUAAUUUGAUGAAUUUAUGGACCAAAUCGCAUUAUUUAAGUUUAUAUGGAUAAUAAUUAAAUACGAGUGCAAAGUUUUAACUUUUAUAAUAAGUGUGUAUUUUAUUUUAGACAUCUUGUACCAAUGGCCAUACUGGUAUCACAGGGUUAUAAGACUAACAUAACCCUAAGUCACGUUAUACAGUUAACACAGAUGCGGACUUGCAUGCCGCUCAGGUGUGUGACUGGGAUAGCGCCAUGUACGUAUAUAGUCAUGUCCCUCUCACACACCGGAGCACCCAAUGUAAAGACCGCUUUAAGCAGCUGAGCCAGUGUUGCUUUGUAUAUUAAUAUUGUCAUUUUAAUGUAAUUAUCAAUAUAAAUGUAUUUAACAUAUCCUUGCUAUAAUGGAGUAGUAAAAUGAUGAAAGACUGUAUGUUCAAAUAUUCCCUAAUCGAUAUGAAAUGAUAAGCCUCGAAAAUAAUUUUCAAGUAUAUUACGCGUUUAAGUCCUGUAUUAGUAACUAAUGAGCCUAAAAGUCCGUCCAAACGAGGCAUCGAAUAAACCAAUAGGUUAGUGAGUUUAGCAGCAUUUUGAAUUGCUCUCUGCAAGAAGAAUUUUGUAGUUUUUAUUUGCCUUGACAGUGUGAAUUGUAUGGAUAGAAUAUUCUUUUUAUAUGCAUUGCAGCUAUAUUACAUUUACCUUUUUUUCAAUAAAUACUCUUAAUACUGA